UUACGGCCAUACCACUUUGAAACGCCAGUUCGCGCGUACGAUCACCGACGUGAAGCAACCUCGAGCCUGGUCAGUAUUUAAAGGGGUGACCACUUGGGAAUACCAGGUGAUGUAAG
This is a non-coding RNA of Acanthosepion pharaonis, 116 nucleotides long. The record is from the annotation of a GenBank genome assembly. NCBI's taxonomy places the organism in Eukaryota, Metazoa, Mollusca, Cephalopoda, Sepiida, Sepiidae.